GACGAACGCUGGCGGCGUGCUUAACACAUGCAAGUCGAACGGAAAGGCCCUGCUUUUGUGGGGUGCUCGAGUGGCGAACGGGUGAGUAACACGUGAGUAACCUGCCCUUGACUUUGGGAUAACUUCAGGAAACUGGGGCUAAUACCGGAUAGGAGCUCCUGCUGCAUGGUGGGGGUUGGAAAGUUUCGGCGGUUGGGGAUGGACUCGCGGCUUAUCAGCUUGUUGGUGGGGUAGUGGCUUACCAAGGCUUUGACGGGUAGCCGGCCUGAGAGGGUGAUCGGCCACAUUGGGACUGCGAUACGGCCCAGACUCCUACGGGAGGCAGCAGUGGGGAAUAUUGCACAAUGGGCGGAAGCCUGAUGCAGCAACGCCGCGUGCGGGAUGACGGCCUUCGGGUUGUAAACCGCUUUCGCCUGUGACGAAGCGUGAGUGACGGUAAUGGGUAAAGAAGCACCGGCUAACUACGUG
This 468-nucleotide ribosomal RNA is filed under the name uncultured bacterium. Its description in RNAcentral is "partial 16S ribosomal RNA". It matches the Rfam family "Bacterial small subunit ribosomal RNA", at positions 28 to 507 of the family's 1533-position model. The record is from RNAcentral.